GUUGUUGGAGAGGAAAAGUAUACAUUGGUCGAGCAAGUGAAGAAUCCUCAUUCAUGUACUAUCCUCAUAAAAGGGCCUAACGACCACACUAUUGCUCAAAUUAAAGACGCUGUCCGUGAUGGUUUAUGAUCAGUUAAGAAUACAUUAGAAGAUGAGUGUGUCGUAUUAGGAGCUGGAGCUUUUGAAGUUGCAGCAAGACAACACUUAAUCAAUGAAGUCAA
This is a long non-coding RNA of Camelina sativa (false flax), 221 nucleotides long. RefSeq lists it as uncharacterized. Lineage: Eukaryota; Viridiplantae; Streptophyta; Magnoliopsida; Brassicales; Brassicaceae. The record is from RefSeq and is a predicted model, not a curated record.